RNAcentral lists this ribosomal RNA (500 nucleotides) under uncultured bacterium. RNAcentral's name for it is "partial 16S ribosomal RNA". It matches the Rfam family "Bacterial small subunit ribosomal RNA", at positions 29 to 523 of the family's 1533-position model. The record is from RNAcentral.
AACGAACGCUGGCGGCAGGCUUAACACAUGCAAGUCGAACGGCAGCACGGACUUCGGUCUGGUGGCGAGUGGCGAACGGGUGAGUAAUACAUCGGAACGUGCCCAGUCGUGGGGGAUAACGUAGCGAAAGCUACGCUAAUACCGCAUACGAUCUAAGGAUGAAAGCGGGGGACCGUAAGGCCUCGCGCGAUUGGAGCGGCCGAUGGCAGAUUAGGUAGUUGGUGGGGUGAAGGCUCACCAAGCCGACGAUCUGUAGCUGGUCUGAGAGGACGACCAGCCACACUGGGACUGAGACACGGCCCAGACUCCUACGGGAGGCAGCAGUGGGGAAUUUUGGACAAUGGGCGCAAGCCUGAUCCAGCCAUUCCGCGUGCAGGAUGAAGGCCCUCGGGUUGUAAACUGCUUUUGUACGGAACGAAAAGGCUCUGGUUAAUACCUGGGGCUCAUGACGGUACCAUAAGAAUAAGCACCGGCUAACUACGUGCCAGCCGCCGCGGUAA